AGUAUAUUGACGUAUUUAUCUACAUUCUAAAUGAACCAAAUAAUCAGGACACCCGAAGUGCUCUGGUGCAAAACAUGCUAUUAAGUUAUCCCAUCUUCAGAAUAUUGGAGAAACACUUAUCGAGAAAACUUGUUAUCUCGACAAAAGCUGCAACUUCAGUAAUACAAUGAAAACCCAAGUGCUAGAAAGAAGAGGCACCGUAGGAUAUGAUCAAGAAAACACAUUGAUUGAUCACUGAACCAAAGAUGUUUGACAACAAAAUUGGAAUUAAGGCAAGGGUCUGAGGAAUCACCGAUAAUUAUAUUACUUACAGAAGUAUCCAAUAAACUAGAACAAACAUAUUGCACCAGCAUAGGCUCACAUUUAUAUAAUAACAAUUACUGACCAGAAAGUCAGAGUAUGCUAUUGAAUUUUGUCAAAGGAAGGUUUUUCAGGUGAAGUUGUGACAACAUGGCCUAAAGCUUUGUAACCCUCAGGUGGAAUGGGCAGCCAAAUAUCGCCAUGAUUAGUACUAUUUUUAUUCUUGAAUUUUGAUGACUCACUAUUCCAAAUAAGUGUGUAAUCAAUUGGAUUCUUUAGGAUUUCACCAACAUUGUCUUUAACCCUACAAGUACCCAACCAAAAAGUGGUUGAUUGUUUGGUUGGCAAUAAACAAUUUCAAUUUUAAUAUGCCUCCCACUCUUUUUUUUUUUUUUUUUUGCUUUCAAGUAAUAUGGGGAUAGGCAACACUCCUUUGCUUGGGCCAUCAAGUUUUGUACCAUUCUUAUCCAUAGUUUCUCGGGAAUAUAUAAUUCUUAAGAGAUUAUCUGCUUAUGUCCUUGAAAAUUUAGAUUAUCUGCUUAUGUCCUUGAAGAUGUAAUUCGAUCUUAAGAGACUAUUUGCUUAUGUCCUUGAAACAUUUCUUCUUUCUAAUUUUCUUUUGUAUUGGAAACAGGUGCGACUUGAACCAAUUUUUUGUGUCUGAGAGUAGAAAAAUGGGAGUGUUUGCAGGGUGUCUGCUUUGCGACUUCACAGACACUCAUCAAAUUUUACUUUUCGGAAUUAGUAAAGAGAAAAUUACAUGUUGAUUGGUGUAAAUUCAGCUGACGUGGCUAACCAAGACAUAUUGGGAUGAUUCGGAAAGCAUUUCAAGAACCUUAACAAAACUCACUAAUAUGUUAAUCAUGAAAUGGGAAAUACUUUGCAGUGACCUCUUCUGCUUGGACAAGAGCGUGGUAUUCUGCGUUUGACCAGAAGAUGACGACAAUUACUAUUACUCAUGGUGCUUCCACUUCUUGCACAGUUGCAGCCAUUAAUAUGACCAUCAUCACAACAAUGGAGGAGGAUACACAAAGUUUAUGAACUUAGCUGGCCAUAUGGAGUGUGUGUUCGUUUGGUUGUUUUGUCUUUGGUAACGGGAGUGUCCCGCUUACAGGGGUUGAGAGUAUUGAUAAAAAUCAUAAAGAGAAGGAAAGAGAAAAGCCUGCCUUACUGGUUGAACUUGUCCUUAAUGAAGACUACACGGUGAAAACUGGGCAGAGGUGGUUUCAGAAGUAGAAUACAUAGAGUCUGAGAAUUUGAAUGAUGUAGAAGAUGUUGACACAAGCCUCAAGACGCUGUUGACUGGGCUAGAGUCAAAGGACUGGAUUUUAGUGUGUGAGACUCUCAAUGAUAGAUAGGAGCAUGUCUUGAAAAAUACUUGUGACCUGAUUGUGCCUUUUGAUCUUUGCACAGGUAUUGAUUUUUCUUCAACUAAAGCAAAAGCAGCAAGCAGAAGACAUUGUAAAUUAGGCUUGAUGGAAAAAAAUAUUUUGGCAUGCUGCUUCCAUUUAAA
Long non-coding RNA from Lycium ferocissimum, 1813 nucleotides. RefSeq lists it as uncharacterized. The transcript has 4 exons. The record is from RefSeq and is a predicted model, not a curated record. NCBI's taxonomy places the organism in Eukaryota, Viridiplantae, Streptophyta, Magnoliopsida, Solanales, Solanaceae.